CGUUCCAUCUGGAAGAAUCUGGAGACAGGUGCUGCAUGGCUGUCGUCAGCUCGUGUCGUGAGAUGUUCGGGUUAAGUCCCGCAACGAGCGCAACCCUUGCCUUUAGUUGCCAGCAGUUCGGCUGGGCACUCUAAAGGGACUGCCGGUGUUAAACCGGAGGAAGGUGGGGAUGACGUCAAGUCCUCAUGGCCUUUAUGACCAGGGCUACACACGUACUACAAUGGCCGAUACAAAGGGCAGCGACACUGCGAGGUGAAGCCAAUCCCGUAAAAUCGGUCUCAGUCCGGAUUGGAGUCUGCAACUCGACUCCAUGAAGUUGGAAUCGCUAGUAAUCGCGCAUCAGCCAUGGCGCGGUGAAUACGUUCCCGGGCCUU
This 374-nucleotide ribosomal RNA is filed under the name uncultured Desulfobulbus sp. RNAcentral describes it as "bacterial SSU rRNA". It matches the Rfam family "Bacterial small subunit ribosomal RNA", at positions 1013 to 1382 of the family's 1533-position model. The record is from RNAcentral. Lineage: Bacteria; Pseudomonadati; Thermodesulfobacteriota; Desulfobulbia; Desulfobulbales; Desulfobulbaceae.